Long non-coding RNA from Panicum virgatum (switchgrass), 2512 nucleotides. RefSeq lists it as uncharacterized. NCBI's taxonomy places the organism in Eukaryota, Viridiplantae, Streptophyta, Magnoliopsida, Poales, Poaceae. The record is from RefSeq and is a predicted model, not a curated record. The transcript has 4 exons.
AUCCCUCGAUUUAGGGUUAAGGUUCCCAAAUCGAGGCGUUCUUUGUGACCUUCGGUUUUCCUAAUAUUCCCAGAAGUGCCAUUGUCCUAUUUAUUUAACUGCAGAGAUCGGAUCUGUGUUUUCAUCUUCUCUUGCCUCCGGUCAUUUCCUUAGCAAUCUAUGUUAGGCUUUGUCUUCUAUCUUCCUUUGAUUUCUCAGCUCCAAAGCAUAUGCAUGAGAAGAGGCGUGUGACCUUCCGCAUGGCGCCGAAGAAGUCCAAGUGCCAAAUGUCCGAGAAGGAGGCGACUAUGGCUGUUGGGUGGAAGAAGAAUAAGUUGUCUGAAGCUGCGAUCUCAUCUCUUGUUAGCCGUCGUCUUUUGCAAUCCAGGACUUUGAUCCAGUUGCAGCCGGCCGAGGGUCAUGGGAGGCUAUUUGAAAAAACUUCUGAAAUUUUUCUUUUCAAGGCCUUUAUUGAGCGUGGCCUUGCCAUUCCCGCUUGCGACUUUUUGCGGGGUCUUCUUUUCUUGGUAUUCAGCUUCAUCACUUAACCCCUGACUCGAUCCUGCAUAUAGCUAUUUUUGUUCAGCUAUGUGAGGCGUUUCUUGGGAUUCAUCCCCAUUUUAAUCUUUUCAAGUCUCUUUUCCUUGAAUCCGUAUCUCAAUCUUAGGAAUAUUGCCAGGGUGGGGGUGCUGAUCUCCAGUUUCAUCCUGGCAUGGCGAAGAAGUAUAUCCCAUAUUCUCCGCGCCGUCAGAUUGGGGAUUGGAAAGCGGAGUGGUUUUAUAUCAAUAACCAUGCUCUUGCUCUUCCGGAGAGGGCUCCUGGACCUCUGAAGCCGCGUCACUAGUGGUGUGUGCCUGCUGGUAAUGCUGAUCAGGUGGGGGAGCUUCUGAAGCGGAUUGCUAGGCUACGAAGGGAGGGGGUGACUGGGGCUACAGUUGUCUCGUCCUGGUUUAGGAGGCAGGUUCAGCCCUUGCAGUGCCGCAGUCAUCUUGGAUUCGAGUAUGCGGGAUUGCGCGAUCCCUCUCGGUUUUCUUCGGAGAAGACUGGUCGAGAUGACUCUAUGGUGCUUUUUUAUAACCUCUUUGAGGGUGUUACUUCCAUGCCUAAGCUUUCGGAUUUAUUUCGUGCGAGUAAUCCUCCGAAACAGGAUGAUUUGUUGGUCUAUCAGAGUGAUCCUCCGUUGCCAGAGGUUCAUCGAUCGAGCCAUAUGAUGCCUAGCGCUCAUUUGCAGCCUCAUCAUUAUCGGCCGGAUUUGGAUCCAACUAUUUCGGAGACUGUCGAGUUCUGACUCCGAUGAUCGUGCUACCAUUGCAGACUUGAUGAAGGGUAAGACGGGAGGAGUGGAACUUUUGGCUCGUGAGGGGAGUCUGGGACCCGAAGCCGGCAUUAGUUGUUCCAAGAAGCCGAGGACAACUGUGUGGAAUAGAAGGGCUAGCGACGAUGUCAGGUAACCAGUCGGGUGGUUUUUGUCUCACUCUUGGUUUUUGCUGCCUGACAUCUUUGCCUCUGAUUUCAGCCCUGGUCCUGUGCCUAAGCAUAGGCGAGUGGUUGAGGAGAGGGCUUCUGCUGCUGCUGCUCCUUCUGAUGUGGCAGAGUCUUCGAGGAGGGCUGGUGGGGCGGGAUCGCAGUCUCCGGAGGACAUUCCAGUUGGUGUCUCGCCAGAUGCUGAGGAGGUGGAAGAGUCGAGUGAUAGCCUGCUGGAGGAGAUUAGGGCAUCUCCUCCUCUCUUUGAAUGUGAUCAUGGCGAGCAGCUUGAGGAUGAUCCACAGUUGACGGCUGGAAACAUGAAGAAGUUCCAGGCCGUUGUGUGGGAAUUCACCAAGUUCUCUUUGCAAAUGUCGAACUUGUCAUAUCUGAAGUCUCAGAAGCUGAAUUCGACUGAGGCGGAUCGCCAGAAGAUCACUCUGUUAGAGGCGGAGAAUGCUGCUUUGAAGAAAGACAAAGCCGCGCUCGAGCAUAGGGUCAGGAUGCUGAAGGAGGUGAUCCAGAAAAACUGAGGUGACCUCUUGAUCUGUGUUCUGAGGUUUUCCUUUUUGGUUAUACUGGUGCUUACGUCCUUUUUGUUGUGGCUGCAGACGGUACUGAAGAGCACCUGAAGGAGUUGCAGGAGCUUCGGGUGGCGGCUUAGACUGUGGUCGAGUCCGUAGGUUCUGCCAAGGAGUCUGAUGGCAGUUUGGCUGAUCGGCUGCAGAAGGUUCCUCAGAAGUUUGCCGAGUACUUGGCAGAAGCUUCUAGGAAUUGUGUGGCGCAGGCCCUUGGUCUUGUCAAUUCAUACUGGCCUUGGGCCAAGAUAGGUGUCCUUGGCGAUGGCAUGUGUUCGACUUGUGACCAUGACCAAUUUGUCAAGUUUGUAGAGGAGGCAGAACCUAUGGCUGACCAAAUUGUAAAGUUGAUAGAUCAGUAGGAUGUACUGUAUCUUCUUCUUUGGCAUGUAAAUAUGACUUUUUGGUCAAUGAGUUGGUGGGUUCUUUUUGUAAGAACUUUUCUUGAUUGACCGUCUUGUGUGGAUGUAGAGAUCGUGUCUCUUCCUUAA